AUUAGUUCAGCUGUGGUUCUAGACGGCCUUCGUUUCGGCGGGUACCGCUUCGGCUUCUUCAGGGCCUUGAGGCGGGGUCUAGGUAGCCAGCGGCGGGCCGAGGGUACCGUUGGGAGUCGCGGCGGCGAGCGGUGACGGGAGGAAUAGAGGAAGCGACGGGAGGAAGAGGCGCGCGAACAGAGGCAGCCUGGGAUGAGCCCAGUCCCGCGUCGUGGGUUUAAGCCGCUGAUGCUCCGAGUCGCCGUGACCUACCUCGAGUGGGAGGUGGAGGGGAGGAGGCUGACCAUGGCGUUGUGGAGGCUGUUGCUGGAGCGAAUGACCCCGGAGCUGAUGGGCGGGGAGAGGCGGAUGGUCUCGGCCGAGGUGCGGGCGGAGUAGUUGCGGAGGGAGGGGCUGCGGCAGCGGGAGGCUAGGAGAGCGCCCAAACUCAGGGUGCUUAGCAUGCCCGGGGAGACGUGAUUGUAAAUCGUGUAGCACCACGCGUCUUGAGGCACAGACAAAGUUCAGAGACACCAGACAAAGGACGUCCUUCAACGAAUACGCCACCUGUCAUGAGAGCAGACUAGAGUACCACAAGAAGGGGCGCCGCGAUACCAAGCACACCCGCAUGUAGUUCCUACCCCAACCGCCAUCACCCCUCUCCGCUCUCCCCACCUACACCGACGAGCGGUACCAAGAAGAGUUGGGCACAAAUCAUGACUAGCUGGUGCCGGUAAAAGUCAUAUUGACGUAGUCAGAACCCGACUGUGAGCCCCGCUAACGACCAUAAGACAGCUCCUUGCUUGAACAACGACGACGAGAGAAGUCAGAACGUUAAUUGGUAUUCGUCUACUCGUACAUGAAACGCGGUCGAAAAAAACCCGUAGAAGAACCUUUUACGGACUUCGCCUUCACAGGUUAACAACUCUAGUACUUUGAACCAAAACAACAUGACCCUUGAAAACGAGAACAAACCACCGGAAUAAACGUAAGAAUACUCCGACGGUACGUCCAUUAGAGAGCUAACCGAGGCAAACUCUCCCCAAAUAUACUCCUAAUACAACGUUUAAAGACCACAUGGUGGAGUCAAGAAUAGUUCACCUUCGCUAACAUGCGUUAUUUCGGCGACUUUGAAUACUCAGAAAGACGAUGGUAGGACCGAAAGAACGGAAGUAAAUAAGUCGUUCAGUUCAGUGGUUCAUUAGAACCGAAGGAGAUAAGAGACAACUUGUCGAGCAAGAGAAAGAUAGAUAAGAGCAUGGUUCACGUGCUCUUUAGUUAAAACGAAGGAGAAAAUGGGCGUUCGGAAAAUCGUAAUGUGCUUGGAGUGGACGUACCUACCAAGUGCAUGAUACGUGAAAAAAGCUACAUGGGCGAAUAGACGGCACUAGUCGAAGAAGAUGUUAUAUAUCGACAAGAACCUAAUAAGCAAGAAUAAAUGAUGAGUGGACCACCUUUGAUACCUUUCCCCUGCUUGUAAAGCAGACCUUGUUACCGUCAAGACUCGGACGGUAACAAUACGAGCUAGAACGAAGUGUGACACAUGGACGUUUAUCUCGGAGGUUUCUCCAUAGGGAAGGAGAAACUUCGUGACUAUUACAAGUAGACGAAGAGUGUCAAAUAAUAAAACUGGGACAUGUGUUUAAUAUUCGUUACCUACAACCUGAAGGUGGGAUCUGGACAUCCAUCGUUCUUCCUGGAUACUAACCUUUAAAACUGUCGAUUAAAAUGUCUUUUAUCAGUAACAUGGUAACAUUGGAACUCACACAAGGAAGACAUUGCCUUAACUAAGUGUAAAAUACUUUACCUACUUUAGAAACGUACACCUCGUCUAUGCUUAUUUAAAA
This 1826-nucleotide ribosomal RNA is filed under the name Triticum aestivum (bread wheat). Its description in RNAcentral is "partial small subunit ribosomal RNA". Lineage: Eukaryota; Viridiplantae; Streptophyta; Magnoliopsida; Poales; Poaceae. The record is from RNAcentral.